AUUAAUUAAGCUUUAAGCGGUAGAUUGUAAAUCUACAGAAGUGUUGGUCUAUAAAUCC
Molecule: transfer RNA, 58 nt
Filed under: Armadillidium nasatum
Lineage: Eukaryota; Metazoa; Arthropoda; Malacostraca; Isopoda; Armadillidiidae
Description: tRNA-Tyr
Source: RNAcentral